Molecule: non-coding RNA, 212 nt
Filed under: Devosia epidermidihirudinis
Lineage: Bacteria; Pseudomonadati; Pseudomonadota; Alphaproteobacteria; Hyphomicrobiales; Devosiaceae
Source: RNAcentral
CUAUGAAACAAGCCUAACGGUUCCGCCAAGCCACGGCGGAUUAAAAGGGAACGCGGUGAGGAUUACCCAUCAGGGGCCAAAACCGCGGCUGCCCUCGCAACUGUAAGCGGCGAGCUCCGCCUUCGAUAAGCCACUGGUCCCAAGGACCGGGAAGGUGAGGGAGGAGCGAUCGAGCCGCGAGCCAGGAGACCUGCCGUUUCACAACCAUGACG